AGUCAAGAGUCCUUGGCACCGUUUCGGUGAGCAGAUUUCUUUUGCCUGCAGAAAGGCAAGGAAAUG
Molecule: non-coding RNA, 66 nt
Organism: Rhizobium sp.
Lineage: Bacteria; Pseudomonadati; Pseudomonadota; Alphaproteobacteria; Hyphomicrobiales; Rhizobiaceae
Source: Rfam